GCGUCACACUCCAUUAGAGGGGCUUCAUUUGGGUAUCUGGUGACCAAAAAUCUGGUGAAGGGAUACUUUUAAUUCAAUAGCAAUUUGUCCAAAUUACCCUUCAAUUAAAAUUAAAACAAAAACAGAAUAAAAACCUAAUAUCUUCACACUUUCUUCUUCUUCACAGUAAAUUUUCACAUCAUUUCAUUUCAUCAUUUUCGAUUAAUUGGGCGAUCCGAAAAAUUGAAUCUCGUAGGAUUGAAAUCUGUAUGAAAAAUGAGGAAGAAACAAACUGAUUGCAGUGAUGGUAAUCAAAAUCUCAAUCAACCCCCUGACCAACAACUUUAUCCUCAACAACCACCGAUUGAAGCAAUUGAUUUUUCGGAAUUUCGAACUCCUCAACAACAAUCCAUGGUGUAUAUAAGGUCGACUUACAGUAAUUUAGUCAUGGAUAGCCUAAUGGAUAUAAUCCACUAUUAUUGAAACUUAAUCUUCUACAAACGUAAUUACAAACGUCUAGGUGGAGAAGAAGCUUUUAAUUCAGAGAUGUUGGAAGAAGAACUGGGGGUGUCUGUGCAAUUGGCUAAUGGAAAUGAAGAUGAAGUAUUGAGUAAAGAUGUGCAGAAUGCAAUUGAACAGGUUAUGAAUGGCAAUAAUGGAGAAGAAAUGAGGAAGAGGGCAACGGUGAUUGCGGAGAAAAUUAAUGCUGCAAUGAAGAUGGUCAUCACGAAGGGUCUACUAUUAGAUCAAUUGAUGAUUUCCUUGCAUCUGUAACUUCUAAAUGAUUUUGUAUUGGUUGAAUAGAGUCGACAUGCCAAGAACAUAAAAAGAGGAUAAUAGUUUUGUUUUUAAUGUAAACAGACCCUUUGUCUU
Long non-coding RNA from Papaver somniferum (opium poppy), 852 nucleotides. RefSeq lists it as uncharacterized. NCBI's taxonomy places the organism in Eukaryota, Viridiplantae, Streptophyta, Magnoliopsida, Ranunculales, Papaveraceae. The transcript has 2 exons. The record is from RefSeq and is a predicted model, not a curated record.